UACGUAGGGCGCAAGCGUUGUCCGGAAUUAUUGGGCGUAAAGAGCUCGUAGGCGGUCCGUCACGUCCGCUGUGAAAACCCAGGGCUCAACCCUGGGCUUGCAGUGGAUACGGGCAGACUAGAGGUAGGUAGGGGAGAAUGGAAUUCCCGGUGUAGCGGUGAAAUGCGCAGAUAUCGGGAGGAACACCGGUGGCGAAGGCGGUUCUCUGGGCCGUACCUGACGCUGAGGAGCGAAAGCGUGGGGAGCGAACAGG
Molecule: ribosomal RNA, 253 nt
Filed under: uncultured bacterium
Lineage: Bacteria
Description: partial 16S ribosomal RNA
Rfam family: Bacterial small subunit ribosomal RNA
Source: RNAcentral